RNAcentral lists this ribosomal RNA (460 nucleotides) under uncultured bacterium. RNAcentral's name for it is "partial 16S ribosomal RNA". It matches the Rfam family "Bacterial small subunit ribosomal RNA", at positions 338 to 795 of the family's 1533-position model. The record is from RNAcentral.
CCUACGGGUGGCAGCAGUGAGGAAUAUUGGUCAAUGGACGAGAGUCUGAACCAGCCAAGUAGCGUGAAGGAUGACUGCCCUAUGGGUUGUAAACUUCUUUUAUAUGGGAAUAAAAUGUUCCACGUGUGGGAUUUUGUAUGUACCAUAUGAAUAAGGAUCGGCUAACUCCGUGCCAGCAGCCGCGGUAAUACGGAGGAUCCGAGCGUUAUCCGGUUUUAUUGGGUUUAAAGGGAGCGUAGGUGGAUUGUUAAGGCAGUUGUGAAAGUUUGAGGCUCAACCGUAAAAUUGCAGUUGAAACUGGCAGUCUUGAGUACAGUAGAGGUGGGCGGAAUUCGUGGUGUAGCGGUGAAAUGCUUAGAUAUCACGAAGAACUCCGAUUGCGAAGGCAGUUCACUGGACUGCAACUGACACUGAGGCUCGAAAGUGUGGGUAUCAAACAGGAUUAGAUACCCGGGUAGUC